CAUGAGGAUGGGCAUACUGGAAGGAGCAAUAAGAGGAAACAGUGCAUAGUCCAUUUCAUAAUUGAGAUGUUCAUCAAUAACUGAAAAAAAGUUUAAUAACAGUAGGUCUAUAUAUCUUGGAGGUCUCUCCACGUCAGUCCAGUCUUUCUCAGCAACAGCAAGGGAUAAGAAAAGCAACCAAGGCAGUGAGCUGUCCGACCACUGGGAAGCCAGUUAACAAAGCCAUCAGAAGACUGAGCUCUGCUGUUACUCGCGCUGGUGUUUCCUUCCACAGAUCAAUGGUCAUCAGAGUCAAGUACUCUGAACUUGUGGAAAGUAAUAUUGGAUCUUAUGUUACGAAACCUACACACUUAAAGG
This is a long non-coding RNA of Cynocephalus volans (Philippine flying lemur), 357 nucleotides long. RefSeq lists it as uncharacterized. NCBI's taxonomy places the organism in Eukaryota, Metazoa, Chordata, Mammalia, Dermoptera, Cynocephalidae. The transcript has 4 exons. The record is from RefSeq and is a predicted model, not a curated record.